UGGUGUGAGUUGGAGAACUCUGG
RNAcentral lists this non-coding RNA (23 nucleotides) under Mus musculus (house mouse). Lineage: Eukaryota; Metazoa; Chordata; Mammalia; Rodentia; Muridae. The record is from RNAcentral.